GUGAUUUUUCAUGUAAGUAUUAUGAUCUGUGUGUUGGUGGAAAGCAGGAAUCAAUAACGGGAAGAUAAGAAGAAUCCAGCCCCUCUAUCCUUAAAGCAUGCAUAGCAGUCACAAUUCCCAUAGCCACCGCCCAUGCUAGGUUGAAGACUAGCUGGGAAAGUCUCUGUUCAUUUAAAGGGUGCAUUAUGAAGACUAAGGAGUGCAAGACAGCUUCAAUCAGUUGGAUUGAGAAAUCAUCUAAGAGAUCUUGGAGUUUACAAAAGAAUGGCGACUUUGGUGAUUGUAGAAGUGAAAUUCUGAAAGCUUUCAUGCUUUGAAUCGGUUUUAGUAUUUGAAUUUUUUAGUUCAAGGUAUGAAAGAAAAGCUUAUCACAUUAAAGAUAUACAAACAUGGUUGUUUCCAU
RNAcentral lists this long non-coding RNA (403 nucleotides) under Populus tremula. Its description in RNAcentral is "long non-coding RNA (PTRE_LNC002126)". Lineage: Eukaryota; Viridiplantae; Streptophyta; Magnoliopsida; Malpighiales; Salicaceae. The record is from RNAcentral.